GACGAACGCUGGCGGCGUGCUUAACACAUGCAAGUCGAACGGAAAGGCCCCUUUGGGGGUACUCGAGUGGCGAACGGGUGAGUAACACGUGAGUAACCUGCCCUUGACUUCGGGAUAACUUCAGGUAACUGGGGCUAAUACCGGAUAGGAAUCCUUGCUGCAUGGUGGGGGUUGGAAAGCUUCGGCGGUUUUGGAUGGACUCGCGGCUUAUCAGCUUGUUGGUGGGGUAGUGGCUUACCAAGGCUUUGACGGGUAGCCGGCCUGAGAGGGCGACCGGCCACAUUGGGACUGAGAUACGGCCCAGACUCCUACGGGAGGCAGCAGUGGGGAAUAUUGCACAAUGGGCGGAAGCCUGAUGCAGCAACGCCGCGUGCGGGAUGACGGCCUUCGGGUUGUAAACCGCUUUCAGCAGGGGCGAAGCUUGUGGUGACGGUACCUGCAGAAGAAGCACCGGCUAACUACGUG
RNAcentral lists this ribosomal RNA (465 nucleotides) under uncultured bacterium. Its description in RNAcentral is "partial 16S ribosomal RNA". It matches the Rfam family "Bacterial small subunit ribosomal RNA", at positions 28 to 507 of the family's 1533-position model. The record is from RNAcentral.